Molecule: ribosomal RNA, 784 nt
Filed under: Xiphinema opisthohysterum
Lineage: Eukaryota; Metazoa; Nematoda; Enoplea; Dorylaimida; Longidoridae
Description: eukaryotic LSU rRNA
Rfam family: Eukaryotic large subunit ribosomal RNA
Source: RNAcentral
GAGGGAAAGUUGAAAAGAACUUUGAAGAGAGAGUUCAAAAGGGCGUGAAACCGCUUAGAAUAAAACGGACGGAACCGUCUGAAGCCUUCGGGAAUCAGUCGAACGACGCGCGAACGCGCUCGGGUAUAACGGAACGUAAAAGUCCGGCUCGAGUGGUCUAGUAGUCGCGUUCGUAAGGCGCAUUUCUCGAGGGUUAGCGUCGCGACCGAUGCGUACGGCCGGCGAGAUCGUCGGGUUGAGGGCGAAACCCUUCGCGGGUCUUCGUAACCAGCCUGGCGGUUUUUUUGUUCGCCGGACUAAAAGCAGCAUCGAGCGUCUAGCGAAUUUAUGACGUCGGCGUAAACGCGCUCGCACGAACGAUGGACAGUCGGCCGAUUGAUCGACGCCUGCUCGCAGGCGCUCGGUCAACGCGAGGUCGGCUUUCGAAGUCGUCGGCGACGUACCGACGUUAAGGCGUCCGCGGCGUCCGAGUCGGUCACCCGUCCGACCCGUCUUGAAACACGGACCAAGGAGUCUAACGUACGCGCGAGCUAAUGGGUGGAAAACCUAUAAGCGCAAUAAAAGUAAAAACCGUCUUCACGGCGGUCGAGGUACGAUCCCGGAGUACGUUAAAAAUACUCUACGGGCGCAGUACCGUCCCGUCCUGACCGCUUGUCGGUAGGGCGGAGACAGAGUGCAUACGUUGGGACCCGAAAGAUGGUGAACUAUGCCUGAGCAGAGCGAAGCCAGAGGAAACUCUGGUGGAGGUUCGUAGCGGUUCUGACGUGCAAAUCGAUCGUCAGAC